RNAcentral lists this long non-coding RNA (493 nucleotides) under Capra hircus (goat). RNAcentral's name for it is "lncRNA (ENSCHIG00010005747.1)". Lineage: Eukaryota; Metazoa; Chordata; Mammalia; Artiodactyla; Bovidae. The record is from RNAcentral.
CUGGAGAAGGAAAUGAUAACCCACUCCAGUAUUCUUGCCUGGAGAAUCUCUUUGGACACGGCUGAGCGACUUCACUUACACUGACCAGUAGCAAAGCUUGAACUCAAAUGUGGGCUGAUCUAUACCAUAUGAUUCACAACUCAUUUUAUCAGCAUCUUCAAGAAUCUUAACCCAGUUUCUGACUGUGUGUGAUGUAGUCAUUGUCUUGUGUAUUUGAUCUGCCAAUGCAAAGAGGAAUGAGCUUCUCUCUCCAGAGAAUUGCCACACAUCAGAGAAAUCAAGAUGAAUGCUUUCCCAUUUCAUUUCUCUUCCUUCUUGGAUCUAGGUUGUUACAGUGAAAUUUGGAUACUUUCUCAUUUACAAUUUUGAUUUCUUCUCAAUCAUUUAACUGCGUUUUAAAUUUCUCUUUUGUUUAUGCUUUUUGUUUUGGAUCCUAAUUGUAGACUCCAUUAAAGUGAAAAUUAAACAUUCAAGUUAAAUAUUCAAUUCAGUA